This 483-nucleotide ribosomal RNA is filed under the name uncultured bacterium. RNAcentral describes it as "partial 16S ribosomal RNA". It matches the Rfam family "Bacterial small subunit ribosomal RNA", at positions 30 to 506 of the family's 1533-position model. The record is from RNAcentral.
AUUGAACGCUGGCGGCAGGCCUAACACAUGCAAGUCGAGCGGAUGAAGGGAGCUUGCUCCUGGAUUCAGCGGCGGACGGGUGAGUAAUGCCUAGGAAUCUGCCUGGUAGUGGGGGAUAACGUCCGGAAACGGGCGCUAAUACCGCAUACGUCCUGAGGGAGAAAGUGGGGGAUCUUCGGACCUCACGCUAUCAGAUGAGCCUAGGUCGGAUUAGCUAGUUGGUGGGGUAAAGGCCUACCAAGGCGACGAUCCGUAACUGGUCUGAGAGGAUGAUCAGUCACACUGGAACUGAGACACGGUCCAGACUCCUACGGGAGGCAGCAGUGGGGAAUAUUGGACAAUGGGCGAAAGCCUGAUCCAGCCAUGCCGCGUGUGUGAAGAAGGUCUGCGGAUUGUAAAGCACUUUAAGUUGGGAGGAAGGGCAGUAAGUUAAUACCUGGCUGUUUUGACGUUACCAACAGAAUAAGCACCGGCGAACUUCGU